RNAcentral lists this long non-coding RNA (908 nucleotides) under Homo sapiens (human). RNAcentral's name for it is "HSALNT0075938". Lineage: Eukaryota; Metazoa; Chordata; Mammalia; Primates; Hominidae. The record is from RNAcentral.
CCCGGCCUGUUUCGGAAACUGCUUCCUGACGGCGUGUGAGUGGGCUUGGGAGCGCCAGCGUUGAUUCAGAGGGUUUAUCGGUGUUGACCGGGCCUAGGUCAAAGAGAUAUCAUGUGGGUCAACAGUCAUUUGUGGCUAUUAAAGAUGAUGGUAACAGAAAAGAAUAUACAAGGCAGGCAAUCCCCAAACUCGCAACUUCAAGAUGUCGUCACAGUACAGGCAACCAAAGAAAAUGGACAAAUGGGAUCAUAUUAAGCUAAAAAGCUUCUGCACAGCAAAGGAAACAAACUGAAGAGACAACCCACAGAAUGGGAACUAUCCAUCUGACAAGGGAUUAAUAACCAGAAUAUAUGAGGAGCUCCAACAACUCUAUAGGAAAAAAAAAUCUAAUAGUCCGAGUAAUAAAUGGGCAAAAGAUUUGAAUAGACAUUUCUCAAAAGAAGACAUACAAAUAGCAAACAGGUAUAUGAAAAGGUGCUCAGGCAAUAAAUACUGGCGAGGUUGUGGAAAAAAAAAGGAACCCUUGUGUUUGUGGGAAUGUAAAAAGUAUAACCACUAUGGAGAACAGUAUGGAAGUUCCUCAUAAAACUAAAAAUAGAGAUACCGUAUGACCUAGCAAUCUCACUGCUAGGUAUAUAUGCCCAAAAAAGGAAAUCAGUGUAUCAAAGAGAUACCUGCACUCCUAUGUUUAUUGCAGCACUACUCACAAUAGCCAAGGUUUGGAAGCAACCUAAGUGUCCAUCAACAGAUGAAUGGAUAAAUCGUUACAUAUACCCAUGGAGUACUAUUCAGCCAUAACAAAGAAUGAGAUCCUGGCAUUUGCAACAACAUAGAUGGAACUAGAGGUCAUUAUGUUAAGUGAAAUAAGCCAGGCACAGAAAGACAAAUUUCACAUGUUCUCACUUAUU